Raphanus sativus (radish) is the source of this 1448-nucleotide long non-coding RNA. RefSeq lists it as uncharacterized. The transcript is spliced from 2 exons. Lineage: Eukaryota; Viridiplantae; Streptophyta; Magnoliopsida; Brassicales; Brassicaceae. The record is from RefSeq and is a predicted model, not a curated record.
UCUAAAUCUCUUUGUUCCGUCUUCUUCCCCCGUAAGAGACGGAGAGACAGAAGAGGGGAAAAAAAGAACACCUACAAGUCUUAAACCCUUGAGAAGCACUAUGGAGGAUCGAAUCUAAUAUUUUGAGAUUCGUCUUCAUCAAACCCACCUGCGGAAAAUGUCAGUGCUCAUGGGCUCGAAGCAAUCUCUCGGCUUUUGUCUUCUUCCUUCUCCUUUGUAUACUUUUUAGAAGACUUCAUCAGGUUUUAGCAUCGGGACCCGCGUCAAAAAAGCAGCCCUUUUCACCAUAGAAGCAAUGGUUUAUCCGCAUACACUUCAGUCGGGUAACGUGUUGAAUGCCUGAGUUCUCUUUUCCGACUGUUGUAUGGAGUUGAGUUAAUGGCUACUCUAUAGUGGUCCUGUUUGAUGGAUUCUCAGCGUUUUCUGAUUUAUAGUUGAUCCUGAAUAAUAAGCUGUUCAGUUUUUUUGUUUUUUUUUUUCAAUUUAAAUUAGCCAACUUGCGGCUUAAAUUGGCUGAUCAUGGAAUUGAUGCUCAGAACUGUACUCGGGGCAAUACAGUUGCUUAAUAUUAUCCCAAGUUUGUCAGCUACAUGGAAUUGCUUCAUAGUUCUUCAUAAAGGUGGAGUAAGGGUGAGUAUGACAAGAAUUUCAUGAAAGACAAGUUCCAUUAGAGAAGGUUGAAAGAAAAGUUUCUAUGGAGAGUUUAGAGCUAGACCCUCUCUGUGACGAAAUUGUUAUCUUGGGCAUACUUAUUACUACUCAUUCUUCUAUAUUUACAGCUUCCUUGAGAGAAUGAAAUAUGUAAAUUUGACACUUCAUUUAUUUGAUAUAUCUUAUUUCGUUCUUGGUUAUGCUUCAGAUGUGAGGAUUAUUUCGCUGCAAGAAUGAUUUCAGCUGAAACAAUCAAGAUAAAUCGGGUUAUGCAGAAAAGAAUAGGUGAUGAGGUACUUGCAAGUCCUGUAGUCCUGACUCUGUUUUUGGUUGCUUUUCCUUUCCUUUUCUUUUUAUGCUCUGCUUUAGCAUUAGAAACUAGCUGAAGUUGUUCUGAAGUAGUCAAGAGUUUAGAUUAGAGAGGUUCUGUAAUAAAAAGAAAAAAAAUUUGGACAGGGCAACUGGUCUGUCCUCAGAUUCUUCUAUACCACCUGAGAGUCCUGAGAGGAGAUCAAACAGACGGUCAUGAUCCAGUUUGGUGAGUUGACAGACAGCUAAACACAUUACAUAGACGUAUCGAUAUCAUUUGUCUUCUAUUUUUUUCUUAUUCCUUUUUGUGUGGCAAAAGAUCUUUUUGUGAGAGUGUCUUACUUAACCUUUUGUAACUAUUUACAGACUGUCUUUGUGUUAUGUGGGGAUGGUUUCCGUGUUCUCUCUUCUUCUGUCUGGUGUGGGUCUGAUCCAAAAAUAAAAACGUGAUUAUAGAUUUGAUUUUUGUACAGCUCGAUUUGGUGAUC